AGUCCGGGUUCGAGUCCCGGGCAACCCA
Molecule: transfer RNA, 28 nt
Filed under: Eucalyptus jacksonii
Lineage: Eukaryota; Viridiplantae; Streptophyta; Magnoliopsida; Myrtales; Myrtaceae
Description: partial tRNA-Lys
Source: RNAcentral